AUGAUGCGUCAAUGGACUAGAGUCUGCACCAGCUAAGUAGGCUGAAGGCCUACUGCCCUAAGGGUUCUAAACUGGUCUUAUAUGGGGAUAAAGUGCGCCACGUGCGGACUUUAUUAUGUACGGUAUGAAUUAGGAUCGGCUAAUCCCGUGCUAGCAGCCGCGGCCAUACAGAGGAUGAGAGCGUCAUCCGGAUAUAUUUGGUUUCCAGGGUGCCUAGGCG
Molecule: ribosomal RNA, 220 nt
Filed under: uncultured Bacteroides sp.
Lineage: Bacteria; Pseudomonadati; Bacteroidota; Bacteroidia; Bacteroidales; Bacteroidaceae
Description: partial 16S ribosomal RNA
Rfam family: Bacterial small subunit ribosomal RNA
Source: RNAcentral